AGAGUUUGACAUGGCUCAGAGUGAACGCUGGCGGCGUGCUUAACACAUGCAAGUCGAACGAGAACGGCUCUAGCUUGCUAGAGUGUCAGCUAAGUGGCGGACGGGUGAGUAAUGUAUAGUUAAUCUGCCCUUUAGAGGGGGAUAACAGUUAGAAAUGACUGCUAAUACCCCAUACUCCUUUUACCUUAAUGGUAAUUGGGAAACGUUUUUUCGCUAAAGGAUGAGACUAUAUGGUAUCAGGUAGUUGGUGGGGUAAGAGCCUACCAAGCCAAUGACGCCUAGCUGGUCUGAGAGGAUGAUCAGCCACACUGGAACUGAGACACGGUCCAGACUCCUACGGGAGGCAGCAGUGGGGAAUAUUGCACAAUGGGGGAAACCCUGAUGCAGCAACGCCGCGUGGAGGAUGACACAUUUCGGUGCGUAAACUCCUUUUAUAUGGGAAGAUAAG
This 448-nucleotide ribosomal RNA is filed under the name uncultured Campylobacterota bacterium. RNAcentral's name for it is "bacterial SSU rRNA". It matches the Rfam family "Bacterial small subunit ribosomal RNA", at positions 8 to 452 of the family's 1533-position model. The record is from RNAcentral. Lineage: Bacteria; Pseudomonadati; Campylobacterota.